Molecule: ribosomal RNA, 253 nt
Filed under: uncultured bacterium
Lineage: Bacteria
Description: partial 16S ribosomal RNA
Rfam family: Bacterial small subunit ribosomal RNA
Source: RNAcentral
UACGGAGGGGGCUAGCGUUGUUCGGAAUUACUGGGCGUAAAGCGCGCGCAGGCGGACCUGCAAGUCGGGGGUGAAAGCCCGAGGCUUAACCUCGGAACUGCCUUCGAUACUGCGGGUCUCGAGUCCGGGAGAGGUGAGUGGAAUUCCUAGUGUAGAGGUGAAAUUCGUAGAUAUUAGGAAGAACACCAGUGGCGAAGGCGGCUCACUGGCCCGGUACUGACGCUGAGACGCGAAAGCGUGGGGAGCGAACAGG